AGAGGCCAUGAGCUUUCCAGUAUGUAGUCACAGGUCAAUAUUAUCAGGUACUAAGGCCUUGGUAACUUGCUAUGUCAUUGUAUGGGAAAUAACAGCCUGAACCACUGAUUAAUCAGCUGAGGCAAGUGUUGGGUCAGCUGCAGGAGCACAGGUGAGAGUAAUCUAGCUGUGCUCCCGGAAGGGGUGGACUUUGACUCCACCUCCUCUGAGACCUCAUUUAAGGGCUGACCACCACUGAGGCAGCAUCUCUUGGAGAUCGCUCCCCAGUGGAGAGUGCCUCAGCUAUCCGGUCAAGGCAUCGACAUUGGUGAGUCUUCUUUACUAAUAACCUUUGACUAUUUAUCACCAUUUUGGUCAACAUCUUUAUAUUAACCACCUUUACAGUCAUGAAGAAACAGCUAAAAGAAAAUUCACAGCAUUUUCUGGUUAUACUGAAACAAUAAGCAAAAGGUGAUGUUUCCUUCUUCUCUUCUUUCGUUCUUCUCUUCUUUCCAGUGGCUAGCAGAGGAGCAAGUGAGAGGAACUGUGCAGCACACAAGGUCACCCAAUUACCCUCACAGCUACAGAGAACUGUGGCAGCUGUGUUACACCGAGGGGAGAACCAGUUAA
This 609-nucleotide long non-coding RNA is filed under the name Coturnix japonica (Japanese quail). RNAcentral describes it as "lncRNA (ENSCJPG00005015410.1)". Lineage: Eukaryota; Metazoa; Chordata; Aves; Galliformes; Phasianidae. The record is from RNAcentral.